AGCGAACGCUGGCGGCAGGCUUAACACAUGCAAGUCGAGCGGGCAUCCUUGUGGUGUCCGCGGCAGACGGGUGAGUAACGCGUGGGAACGUGCCCUUCGGUUCGGAAUAACUCAGGGAAACUUGAGCUAAUACCGGAUACGUGCGAGAGCAGAAAGGUUUAUCUGCCGAAGGAUCGGCCCGCGUCUGAUUAGCUAGUUGGUGAGGUUACGGCUCACCAAGGGUACGAUAAGUAGCUGGUCUGAGAGGAUGAUCAGCCACACUGGGACUGAGACACGGCCCAGACUCCUACGGGAUGCAGCAGUGGGGAAUAUUGGACAAUGGGGUCAACCCUGAUCCAGCCAUGCCGCGUGAGUGAUGACGGCCUUAGGGUUGUAAAGCUCUUUUCUCCGGGACGAUAAUGACGGUACCGGAGGAAUAAGCCCCGGCUAACUUCGUG
This 437-nucleotide ribosomal RNA is filed under the name uncultured bacterium. RNAcentral describes it as "partial 16S ribosomal RNA". It matches the Rfam family "Bacterial small subunit ribosomal RNA", at positions 29 to 507 of the family's 1533-position model. The record is from RNAcentral.